CUGCGUUAUCUGUGACAAGUGGUUAUACAGAGGCCCGUAUCCAGGGGCUCUGGAGUUCGUUCCACUGGAGGGAUCUUGGCGGCGGCGGCAGGUUACACAGAGUAACCUCGUCCGUCUUGUUGUGCAUGGUCAAUAUCUGCAUUUUACAGGCCAUUCUGGGUUCUCCUUGACGUCAACAGGCUUUGACUUUAGUCUUCAGCAGAGCUGGUGCAGGCCCUAAGUCCUGUAAAAUUUUGGUUCCACUGAAGUGACUGAGAGUUAAUGUUGGUGGAGCCGGGACUUCAUGCCGUGUCUGUUAACGAGGCCAAGUUUUCACAUCCCACAGUGAACUGGGCUUUGAAGAUCGGGCUUUUUAUUAGCAUUGUUAUCUGGGCAGGUUGCUGCACAUGAUUUCACUCUUCUUCCCUGGUCAAAGAAUUUCUCAGCAACUACAGAAAUCCAUGAAUGAACAACAUGGGAAAUUGAAGCAAUGCUAAGAGGCAUCAGGAUGGAACCACGGAAGCAUGCACACGUGCUCUCAUGCUGAACUGCAGAAACCUGAUACAGAAGUGCAGUAGGCAAUGUCAAAGUGUCAUUGAAUUACUAGAGCAUUGCUGACUAUCGUGCAUUGCACAGCACCUCUGUUGUUCAAAGAAACCUGAAAUAAUCACUUUCCAAGAGGAGCAGGAAAGACAGGAAUUUUGUUUGUAUUCAGUUUGUCUGCACCUGAACACUGGUUUCUCUGGUCUCCCAUGGGAAAUAGGCCACACUUAGAUGGAGUUCACCCCUGUGAGACAGAACUGCAAAGACUUGGACUUUGAAUGAAUGUGUUGUGCCUGCUCCAGCACGCAUCAGCUCCCGCAGUAAAGGCUUUCUAAUGUUAUGGACAAUUAAUCGUGUGAAUUUCAUUCACCACAGCUGCAUGGUCAUCAGCAUAAUUUGAACAGAUAAGUGAACAAGUGUUUAACGUCGUCGACAUAGAAAGAGAGCCAUUACUAGGAUGAACUCUGUGUGCCACACAUCACUGCAUGGCACUGUGCAGGCAUUUAGUCUGGUA
Molecule: long non-coding RNA, 1036 nt
Organism: Oxyura jamaicensis (ruddy duck)
Lineage: Eukaryota; Metazoa; Chordata; Aves; Anseriformes; Anatidae
Exons: 3
Source: RefSeq, a predicted model, not a curated record